RNAcentral lists this ribosomal RNA (253 nucleotides) under uncultured bacterium. RNAcentral describes it as "partial 16S ribosomal RNA". It matches the Rfam family "Bacterial small subunit ribosomal RNA", at positions 524 to 776 of the family's 1533-position model. The record is from RNAcentral.
UACGUAGGUGGCAAGCGUUGUUCGGAUUCACUGGGCGUAAAGGGUGCGUAGGUGGCGAGGUAAGUCGGAUGUGAAAGCUCGGAGCUCAACUCCGAAAUGGCAUUGGAAACUACCUUGCUCGAGGGUCGGAGGGGGGACUGGAAUACUUGGUGUAGCAGUGAAAUGCGUAGAUAUCAAGUGGAACACCAGUGGCGAAGGCGAGUCCCUGGACGACUCCUGACACUGAGGCACGAAAGCUAGGGGAGCAAACAGG